This 486-nucleotide ribosomal RNA is filed under the name uncultured organism. Its description in RNAcentral is "bacterial SSU rRNA". It matches the Rfam family "Bacterial small subunit ribosomal RNA", at positions 28 to 507 of the family's 1533-position model. The record is from RNAcentral.
GACGAACGCUGGCGGCGUGCCUAACACAUGCAAGUCGAGCGGGGCUUAGUUUGAGUAGUUCUUUGGAGCUGCCCAUAAUAAGCCUAGCGGCGGACGGGUGAGUAACACGUGGGCAACCUACCCUUAAGACCGGGAUAACAGCUUGAAAGGGUUGCUAAUACCGGAUAAAGUUAACUUAGCGCAUGUUGAGUUAACCAAAGGGGUUUAACUGCUUAAGGAUGGGCCCGCGUUCCAUUAGCUAGUUGGUGGGGUAACGGCCUACCAAGGCUGCGAUGGAUAGCCGGUCUGAGAGGAUGUACGGCCACACUGGGACUGAGACACGGCCCAGACUCCUACGGGAGGCAGCAGUGGGGAAUCUUGCGCAAUGGGGGAAACCCUGACGCAGCGACGCCGUGUGAGCGAUGAAGGCCUUCGGGUUGUAAAGCUCUGUCAGCGGGGACGAAGGAGAUGACGGUACCUGCAGAGGAAGCCCCGGCUAACUACGUG